RNAcentral lists this non-coding RNA (104 nucleotides) under Halobacillus karajensis. Its description in RNAcentral is "SAM-I sequence". It matches the Rfam family "SAM riboswitch aptamer (S box leader)". From Rfam's summary of the family: The SAM riboswitch is found upstream of a number of genes which code for proteins involved in methionine or cysteine biosynthesis in Gram-positive bacteria. The SAM riboswitch acts at the level of transcription termination control. Lineage: Bacteria; Bacillati; Bacillota; Bacilli; Caryophanales; Bacillaceae. The record is from Rfam by way of RNAcentral.
CUCUUAUUCAGAGUGGUGGAGGGACUGGCCCUAUGAAACCCGGCAACCGAUCUAUCCGAUGGCGGUGCUAAUUCCAGCAAAGCUAUGGCUUUGAAAAAUGAGAG